AAAGGCAAUCCCAGCCCAGACACGUGGGUUGGAGCAGCGUCGCGUUUCUGGGCAAUUGCUCCUGAGACCCAACAGGCAGCAACGGUCCCAAGGGUGAGGGAGUGGGCAGGGAGAGGCUGAUGGGGCUUCUACACGUUCCCUCCCGUAGCUGGGCUGCUGCAGCUCGUUCGCCCCAGAGGCGCGCGGUGUCCUUGAGUCCAAGUAUUCAGCGCGGACGUUUGGGGGACGGAGGGAGAGGCGCUAGGGGAACUGGCACCUAAGACUGUGUAAUAGGACACAGGUCUUGCAAGUCCUCCUCCCCAGGCACCGCCCCUGUGCUCCCAGCGCCUCUUUGCAGCUUUAAUUAUCCUUUCAGCGCCGUUCCCCCGCGGCUGCGUUUCCGUGGUCAGAGGAAAAAGGCUCUUUCGCCUCCCGGUUCUCACCCUCAUACAGACCCUCCUUUCAGACCCGCCCUCCUGUUCACAGGGACCCAUUUCGGAGCCCUGGCUCACGCUGGGCGGGAACUGCCGUGACGAAUUCCCCCCAAGGUGUUGAUUAUCCAUCCCAACCCAGCCUCUGGCUUCCCUCCCACCUCCACCCCAGCUCCCACAGGCCCCUCGCCCCGUUCAUCGGCUGGGCGCUCGAGACGGCGCCCCCAGAUCUCCCACCGGGCAGUGUCCCCAGCUGCAGCUGAGGAGAGAAGCGCCGGCGUGCGCGGUGCCACGUCGGAAUUGGCUCUGGGGACGCCGCAGCUGCCGAAGCGCAGCGCGCGGUCCCCACGCACGCCCUGCCUCCGGGCGGCCGGCGGGCUGGCCCGGCGAGGAGAGGAGGGAUGCGCGCCCUCCUCCCGCUCCUAUCUGCGGGUGCCACCGCCUGCGUCAGGGACCCCUGGCCCGAUCUUUCUGCCCCCGAUAACAGAAAAUCUCUUUUUCGUCUUAAAAAAAAAAAAAAAAAAAAAAAAAGCCUGUGGAAGACUCAGCAGAACCCAGGAAGCGCAGAAUUGGGAGAAAAGUCUUUGGCUGGGGCUGUUUCAAGUCUCUGGUUCAAUGGGCUGCUCGAAGCCAGGACUGGGUAAUUCUUUCCAGACGUCUUGACUUCUCCUUCCCCGCCGUUGUUGCCCUUCUGCCUCCUCCAACUUAAGGGGGUCUUAACAAGUGAGCUGGAUCUUCUGAGGGGUGGACUUCUUUGGAACUCGACAGGACCUUGAAGACUGGGUUCUUAGUCCUUAUCACAUAUAUGGGCUAUAAUGAAUAAGUCUAAACAGAAAAGUCGAAUAAACUGGAAAUGAUGCUUUCAUCACGUCGCACAAGGAGCUGUUUGGAUCAGAAGAUGACAUCCUUUCACCCAUCCCUUUCAGGUUUUGACAUCCUAAAAUGUACCUUAUGGAACCCAUACCUGUUAUGUUUUCACCUGUACAAGGCAACAGAGAAAACAUGGUAGUUUUUACUUGAGUAGAUGUGACUUAGCAAUAUGUUGUUGCUGACCUCCAUCCCACAGCACAAAACAUAUGUUUAUAUGUCUGACAGACAAAGUAUCCAGAACAAGGAUUUAGUACCUUCAUAAUCCUCUGUAUAUGUGGUUCUAGAACUUUUGGUAAAGAAACUCUUUAUACUCUUAUUAAUUAUUGAGAACCUCAAAAAAAGUUUAUAUGUUAUAUGUAUCAAUAUUUACCACAUUAGACAUUAAAGCUGACUUAAAAAGUUAAAAUACUUAAGUCAUUUGAAGUAAUAAUAAAUGC
This 1717-nucleotide long non-coding RNA is filed under the name Homo sapiens (human). Its description in RNAcentral is "PREDICTED lncRNA (TCONS_00252378)". Lineage: Eukaryota; Metazoa; Chordata; Mammalia; Primates; Hominidae. The record is from RNAcentral.